UACGGAGGGGGCUAGCGUUGUUCGGAAUUACUGGGCGUAAAGCGCACGUAGGCGGACUGGAAAGUCAGGGGUGAAAUCCCGGGGCUCAACCCCGGAACUGCCUUUGAAACUCCCGGUCUUGAGGUCGAGAGAGGUGAGUGGAAUUCCGAGUGUAGAGGUGAAAUUCGUAGAUAUUCGGAGGAACACCAGUGGCGAAGGCGGCUCACAGGCUCGAUACUGACGCUGAGGUGCGAAAGCGUGAGGAGCAGGCAGG
Molecule: ribosomal RNA, 253 nt
Filed under: uncultured bacterium
Lineage: Bacteria
Description: partial 16S ribosomal RNA
Rfam family: Bacterial small subunit ribosomal RNA
Source: RNAcentral